CUUCCCACUCGGGGGUUGAAUGCAUACGAUGCAUGAGCAGCCAGGUCUGUGUCGGGGGUGCUUUGUGGUGGCCUGAGAUGAUGUAGGGAGAGACUCACCCUCUCCCAAGAUAGCUAAGUUCGCAAGGGUGUCAAGCCCCUCUAAAGCAUCAACGUUCUCCGUAUCCUGUUUAGCAGCCUUAAUUUUCUUUGAAGCAGCUGUCAACCACAACCAAUUUGCUAAGUUCAUAAUGAGUUAAACAGUACAUUCAUGAUAAUGCAGAAAUGAAAAUGUACGACUGUUGAUAGAGAACAACAAUCAAAUGUGUGCUUACCUUUCUGGAUCCCAUGAGUUACUGGAACAGGUCCAUUUGGAAGGAAGAAGAACAUUGGAAGGCAAUCUACGCCACUUAAAACAAUCUUCGCAUUGAGCCCAUUGAAUCUUUUCCCUGACAUAAAAAACACAGGGAUUGGUAUUUGCUUUCAUUUAAGACAUCUAUUCCUUCCUAUAUAAUAAGCUAGCAAUGUAAAUAUUUCAAUAUUUGCAUAAACCCACCAAUAUUUCAACAUUAUUCAGGAAGUUUACAGCCAA
Gossypium arboreum is the source of this 570-nucleotide long non-coding RNA. RefSeq lists it as uncharacterized. Lineage: Eukaryota; Viridiplantae; Streptophyta; Magnoliopsida; Malvales; Malvaceae. The transcript is spliced from 2 exons. The record is from RefSeq and is a predicted model, not a curated record.